UUCUACAAUUGAGCCCUAAUUUUUGUAAGAGACAACUAUGGCGAAGAAGAAAACAGCGCCCACAACAUCGGCGCCGGCAAGUACACCUCCUGCAAAGCCUCAAUUAGUGGAAGUAAAUUCUUCAUCUUCAUCGGAGUAUGUAUACGAAGAAGUUGAAGAAGAAGUAGAAGUAGAAGAGUCAAUUGGCGAAGAAUCGAAUGACGAGGACGACAAAGAAGAAUCGAUUGACGAUAAUUCAUCUGAAUCAGAAGAAGAGGAUGAGGAUGAGGAAGAUGAGAACACGAAGAGAGAAACACUGAGGAAGCUCCUGGAACCCUUGUGUAAGGAGCAAAUCAUAGCAUUUCUUAAGGAAGCGGCAGAAAAGGAUUCUUCAAUCAUCUCCCGUAUAGCUAAAUCCACUGAAUCUGAUCCUGUUCACCGUCGUAUCUUCGUCCAUGGACUCGGAUGGGAUGCUACUAAUGAUCAGGUCAUGACUAUAUUCACUCAGUAUGGUGAAAUUGAAGAUUGUAAGGUUGUUAUGGACAAAUUCACUGGAAAGGCAAAAGGGUAUGCUUUCAUUCUCUUCAAAACCAAAGCUGGUGCUAAGAAGGCAUUGAAACAGCCCCAAAAGAAGAUUGGAAACAGGAUGACUUCCUGUCAGCUUUCUUCCACUGGAGGCAAUUCACAGUCUCAGCAGGAACAUACCUCAGGACGAAAAAUAUUUGUGGCAAAUGUUAGUCCAAAUAUUAACUCGUACAAAUUACUCUCCUUGUUUUCUGCAUAUGGGGAGAUUGAGGAAGGACCUUUGGGUCGUGACUCUAUAACUGGUAAGUUUAAGGGUUUUGCAAUUUUCAUAUAUAAGACUGUGGAAGGUUGUAGGAAGGCUCUAGAGGAUCCUAUCAAGAUAUUUGAAGGCCAACAAUUAGAAUGCCGGCUGGCUACAGAAGGUGCCCCACGACCCAACAAGAUUCAGCCUAUUGCUGCUGUUCCUGCUUCUUCUAUACAGCAGACUGACCUUGGUGCCAUGAGUUAUGGGUUUGGUUUGAAUCCUGCGCUUUUGGCACAUUAUAAUAUGAAUCCAGCUGCUGCUGCAGCUGCAGCUGCAGUCUUACUAGGUUCAAAUCCUGGGCUUGGUUUUGCAAAUCCUGGGAUUGGUUUUGCAAAUCCAAUGAUGGCUGCUGCUCAGGGUUUGUCUCAAUCAUCUUUAGCUCCGGCUGCUGCUGGCUUAGGUUUGAGUAGUAAUUAUGGUAUAAAUCCGAGUGUAUUGGGAAACUAUGGAUCCCAAGCGGCUUUGCAAGGUAUGGGUGUUUACCAGAAUGCUCAAUCUGGACAUUCUUCUGCACUGUCCACUUCUGCAGCAGAACCUCAAAGGCCACAAUCUAACUUUGGAUCUUCAGCAGCUAACAACUAUCCACUCUACUUCAGUCGCUAGGUAAAACACUAUGAAAAGCAUUGUCUUUUUCUUUUCCACAUCCAUGACCGAGUUAGUUACUAUAUGAGGGUGCAUGAUAAAGAUGACAGGCAUAAGAGGCUCAAGGUGGACAAGAUCUGAUAGAAUAAGCAAUAAGCAAGAAGUUUAGGGAGAGAUUGAGGGAGAUGUUGAAGAAAUAGAGGAAGAAGUAGACAGAAUCAGCAAAGGGAAGGAAGGAAACCGAGGGCAUAGCCUCGUUUGAUUGAAUUGAGAGAAGGGAGUUAUAGCUAAUCUUCUAGUAAGACUUGGGAUUAUGUUUUGUCGAUGCAACUGCUUUGUUAAAGUCGUCAUCAAGCAGCUGCUUUGUUGGUUUGCUGCAAAGUUAAUCUCGAGUCUUGAGCACUUCUUUCGAACCAAGUCAGUCAAUAGAUUGUUCGAUGAUUAAUGUUGUUGAUAACUCAGUCUUGAAUGAAAUUUGAAGAGAUUUUGUGGAUGGUUAUGUUUAAAAUGAGCCCAAUCUUGAAUUGUUUGUUCUUGAAAGUGAACUAAAUAAUCAGUGUUUAUUUUU
Molecule: RNA transcript, 1958 nt
Organism: Impatiens glandulifera
Lineage: Eukaryota; Viridiplantae; Streptophyta; Magnoliopsida; Ericales; Balsaminaceae
Gene name: UBP1-associated protein 2A-like
Exons: 3
Source: RefSeq, a predicted model, not a curated record